CACUAUGCCCAGCCUUAAACAUAAACGGUCUCCUACACUGUUCCGUUCGCCUGGUUACUACGAGCUCCACAGUAUUUAAGCUUAAAAACCAAAGGACUUGGCGGUGCUUCAUAACCCCCUAGAGGAGCCUGUUCUAUAACCGAUAAUCCCCGUUAAACCUCACCCUCUCUUGUUCAUUCCAGCUUAUAUACCGCCGUCGUCAGCUCACCCCGUGAGGGCCCUACCCAUAAAGUGAGCACAAUUGGUCAAUACCCAGCAAGUCAGGUCGAGGUGUAGCAAAAGAGAGGGGAAGAAAUGGGCUACAUUCUCUACAACAGAGAACUACGGAGAAUAGUCCUGAAACAAGACAUUCGAAGGUGGAUUUAGCAGUAAGAGGGGAACAGAGAGCCCCCCUGAAGCUGGCUCUGAAGUGCGUACACACCGCCCGUCACUCUCCCCCAGCACCCUCGCCAUAAAUUUUCAUAAAACGUAAGAGCAGCAUAGGGGAGGCAAGUCGUAA
RNAcentral lists this ribosomal RNA (499 nucleotides) under Pentapodus trivittatus. RNAcentral describes it as "partial small subunit ribosomal RNA". It matches the Rfam family "Bacterial small subunit ribosomal RNA", at positions 788 to 1491 of the family's 1533-position model. The record is from RNAcentral. Lineage: Eukaryota; Metazoa; Chordata; Actinopteri; Spariformes; Nemipteridae.